This 478-nucleotide ribosomal RNA is filed under the name uncultured bacterium. Its description in RNAcentral is "partial 16S ribosomal RNA". It matches the Rfam family "Bacterial small subunit ribosomal RNA", at positions 28 to 507 of the family's 1533-position model. The record is from RNAcentral.
GAUGAACGCUGGCGGCGUGCUUAACACAUGCAAGUCGAACGAGAAAUGGAGACGGAAACCUUCGGGCGGAAGGCUUCAUUUCGAGUGGCGGACGGGUGAGUAACGCGUGGGUAUCCUGCCUCAUACAGGGGGAUAACAGUUGGAAACGACUGUUAAUACCGCAUAAGACCACAGCACCGCAUGGUGCGGGGGUAAAAACUCCGGUGGUAUGAGAUGGACCCGCGUUCGAUUAGCCAGUUGGCGGGGUAACGGCCCACCAAAGCGACGAUCGAUAGCCGAUCUGAGAGGAUGACCGGCCACAGUGGGACUGAGACACGGCCCAAACUCCUACGGGAGGCAGCAGUGGGGAAUAUUGCACAAUGGGGGAAACCCUGAUGCAGCGACGCCGCGUGAGUGAAGAAGUACUUCGGUAUGUAAAGCUCUAUCAGCAGGGAAGAAAAUGACGGUACCUGAGUAAGAAGCCCCGGCUAACUACGUG